Molecule: ribosomal RNA, 515 nt
Filed under: uncultured bacterium
Lineage: Bacteria
Description: partial 16S ribosomal RNA
Rfam family: Bacterial small subunit ribosomal RNA
Source: RNAcentral
GAUGAACGCUGGCGGCGUGCCUAAUACAUGCAAGUCGAGCGAAUGGAUUAAGAGCUUGCUCCUAUGAAGUUAGCGGCGGACGGGUGAGUAACACGUGGGUAACCUGCCCAUAAGACUGGGAUAACUCCGGGAAACCGGGGCUAAUACCGGAUAACAUUUUGAACCGCAUGGUUAGAAAUUGAAAGGCGGCUUCGGCUGUCACUUCUGGAUGGACCCGGGUCGCAUUAGCUAGUUGGUGAGGUAACGGCUCACCAAGGCAACGAUGCGUAGCCGACCUGAGAGGGUGAUCGGCCACACUGGGACUGAGACACGGCCCAGACUCCUACGGGAGGCAGCAGUAGGGAAUCUUCCGCAAUGGACGAAAGUCUGACGGAGCAACGCCGCGUGAGUGAUGUAGGCUUUCGGGUCGUAAAACUCUGUUGUUAGGGAAGAACAAGUGCUAGUUGAAUAAGCUGGCACCUUGACGGUACCUAACCAGAAAGCCACGGCUAACUACGUGCCAGCAGCCGCCGUAA